Molecule: long non-coding RNA, 2717 nt
Organism: Myotis lucifugus (little brown bat)
Lineage: Eukaryota; Metazoa; Chordata; Mammalia; Chiroptera; Vespertilionidae
Exons: 2
Source: RefSeq, a predicted model, not a curated record
GCCCGCUCGCCCGCCGCGGGCUAGGCUUCCCGGCCCGGGCCUGAACUCCACCGUAGGUGCUUCCCCGGUCCCCCGGUUCCAGCCCAGCCCCCUCCCCACACUCUUGCGGGACCGGGACCAUCCACCUCGGGGCCCGGUUCAAGUAGCGGGACCUCUGUAAGCCUCCGUUUCCACGAAGUAUAAAAUGUAAACAGUGGGAGAACAUGCCCUCCUAGGGGUGUCGCGAGGGUGGAGUGAGAGAACGCGAGGCUCGGGAAGCGAGCGAGCUGACCCCGCUCGGCAGGCCCGGGACCCCGGCCCUGAUUGGCGCUUGAGCUCCCGGGGCGGGGGUCCCUCCCCACCGCCUCCCCUUGUUUCCGCACCAGGCCCCGGCUGCGCCUCCUCCGUGUAAAGCCGCGUUGUCAGACGAGACUGUACAGCGAAUAAGUCAAAACCCUGUGCCGGGAACGGGAGCGGGGACAGGCUUCCAAGGAAUGUCCUGCUUCGGGUUGAGCCGAGAUGGUUAAUGGACUUGCUUCUCUUUAGAUGUCAUCGCGGCGAUGGUCAGUGCCGUGGCAGAGUUUGGCGAGAGCGGCGAGGGAUCUGUCAGGGCUUCUUGUAGGAGGUGUGAGGUCUGAGCUGAGACAGUAACCUCCGGUCAGAGGUUAUUUCUUUUCUCGCUGAGGCCCCUUGUCUCUCUCUGUUCCUCCCCGGAAGCUGUGCGUCCCCGUGUGGCUCCAGCUCCCCCCAGGGAGCUGGGCCCGCCAGGUUCCGGGGAUGGAAGCUGGAGGCCUCCCACGGGAGGAGCCUUCGCUGCUGCACAGGGUGGGUGGUUCUAUUGUUCUUGCUGUUUCUGUAACGAAGGGAUCAGAAGUGAAGGUGCCGUGGGUCGUGGGUCGGCAAAGCAGUCCUUUUGAAGUUGUCACCAGCGCUGAGUUCACGGCUCACACUAGCGGUGUCACCGGUGAAAUGAACCCGAGUGUCUGUCGGUGGUUCAGCCUCACACAGGCCCUUCCCUUCAAAUCCGGUGUUUUUUUUUCAGGACUCAGAGUAAUGUUCAUUUAAAAAAACAGUGGAGCGCACCAGAAAGUCAAAAGACAAGUGUUUUGUACAUUGACCCAAGUGCCCCCUCGACCGGUUUGCCCUUCUUCCUCCCAGCCUUAAAAACAAAAGGCAUUGUGUCGUUUUACCAAAGUUGUGGUCCUGCCACACUGAUUUUUGGGUUCUGUUUCCCGAGGUGGCCCCUCCAGAUGGCCUAGGAUCUGUAAACACCGGCCUCUCGCCCCAUCCAGGCGUGUGUAUUUUGGGAUGCUCUGCUUAGGGUGGAUCAGGAGAGCAGUGAGACUCUGGGCCCAGGCUUGCCAGAAGUGGGUGGUGAGUAGGUGGGAUUUGUGGAGGGGCCGGGGAAGAUGGCUGUACCAGGAGGGACCCGGAUGUGUCAUGCAGAGUGUGCAUGUUACCUGUGCAGUACCUGAACCGAGUCAAUGGCCUUCUGCCUCCGCCGAGGGGACACUGGGCAGUGUCUGGGCACAUCUGUGAUUGUCAUGACUGGGUGCUGCUAGCAUUGAGUGGGUGGGGCCAAGGAUGCUGCCCAACUCCCCACAGCGCCCAGGGUGGCCCCUUUCCCUACACACAUGGGUUUACCAGCCCCAAGUGUCUGUGGUACCAACACGAUCAGUGUCCCAGCACUGACCUGUUGUAUACUUUGGGAAUGUGGUGGGGGAGCUAGCCAAGGCCUAUAGGGAUGACAGACCCUGAAAAGCACCACCUCCCUUAGCUCCUUGGGCCCAGAGGCUAGAUGCACAGGAGCCCAAGAACCCUGGAUGGGGUUGGGGGACCGACCACUGCGGUUUGGGGGGGGGGGCUUGGGUGUGGCACCCAAGUGAAGGCAUUUUGGCUUCACUUUCUAUUGUGCAAAAAGCCAGACAGGGAGGGGGCAGCCUGGCUUCCCACUGGUUAGUGUUAUUUGCCUCAGUUAUCUUUUCUGCAAACUAGAUCUCAACAAACAGCAGCGCCGCAUCCUCUUUGUCUGAUACUCCUGAGCUGCUGCAGAAACCUUUUUUCUGCUUUUUGGUCUUCCUCCACCUCCACCCCACCUCAGAAUCCCCUUUACGAAAUAAUGCCCAUCAGAUGUUCUUUAACCUGAGUGCACAGGCCCUGGGAGUGCCACCGCAGUCCAGCUACUCCGCCCCAAAGACAGGGAGAUGGGGGGACUCAGAGCCAGUUCAUUGUGCUGUGUGGCUGCUGGUAACUGUCUGUCCUGAAGGGACUGUCUUCUGAUCACGACAGAGGCCUGUGUCCUCAGGAAUGGACAUGCUACAGGCAUUGAGGGGCCUGUGGCUCUUGGUUGGUAUUUCAUUCCGUCAUUCAUCCCACAGACCUUUGCAGACAUUUGUACUGGUCAGGGGGUCAGUGUGUUGAGCUGCUGGAUAGAGAAGGCAGGCCUGGAGGUGAUGGGAGGGUGUGUCCAGAGAGCACUGGGCCACAUUCACUCCAGGCACAUCCUGGUGAUACUUGUCCCUCUGUGUCCUAGAGGCCAGUUCUGUGCCCACCUACUUGGCAGUCACAUAUCACAGUUGCUUGUCUGGAGAGACUGGUGUCCCCUCCUGUGGGAGCGUAGCCCACGAGGCCUUCCCAGAGCAGGGGUGUGGGCUCUGUUUCAGGAGCCAGCCCUGUCACCCCCUCCCCAGCACCUGCCUGCAGAGUCAAGUAAUAAAAGCCACUGUGCUCAUGUGUAA